Long non-coding RNA from Elgaria multicarinata webbii, 217 nucleotides. RefSeq lists it as uncharacterized. Lineage: Eukaryota; Metazoa; Chordata; Lepidosauria; Squamata; Anguidae. The record is from RefSeq and is a predicted model, not a curated record. The transcript is spliced from 3 exons.
CCAAGAAGCAUUGCUGGAGGAAAGCAUCAAGGCAUAUAUAGGAGGAAUCUGCACUGACAUUGCCAUGGUGGUCACCAAAACGGAUAUUCUGGAACUUGAUGAAUAUAGGAGGAAUAGAACAAAUAAUAAUACUCCCAUCGAGAAUAAACACGAUGCCAUUUUAGAGAGGAACCAAGAUGUGAAGAAGAAGAAGGAGAGAAGUAUUAGGGAGAAGCUG